AUGAAUCUGUGAUUCUGUAAACAGUAUUUAUGUAUGUGUGUGUGUGUAUGUAUACGCACACUACAGUAAAAAUCUUCGAUCAUCGAAGCACCCCUGAGGGCUCGGCUGGUACAAGAACACCUUGAGGAGCCCACGGCCGUCCCAGGCCCCACGCUACUGCAGUGACAUCAGUAACAGGAAAUCUCUGGGAGCACAACGGGACGUCCUGGGUAAGAUGAGUCUGUAACAGUCAAGCAGCUGGGACAUCACUGCUGUCACUGUGGGCUUUGGGACGCACAAUAAAGGUUUUGUGAUUUUGAAGUAUCUGCUGCAGGUACUUAGGCCACUGAUAUUAUUUAGCCUUUACAUAAAACCUUUCUUGUUUUAAGCGUAUUUUUUCUUAACCUGAAUGUACUACUGUAUAAGUAAAUGCAUAGAAAUUACAAUAUACCUUCUCUUUUGACAGUGAGGAACAAGAGAGUCCACACUCUGAAAUCAGAGGAAAGACUCCCCAAUUUUCAGAGAGUAGGAGAAUAGCCUCAAUAAUUCUUCAGGAAAAUUACAUACGUUGCAAGUGCAAAGUUUAGCAUUUUCUUACAGCUGGUAGGGAUGUGAAAAUCCAUCUUGCCUUCCACGCAUAAACUCCAACAAGAUCUCACAGCCACAAUUAAGCGAUAGCUAUUGAUAAUGCCUAAGCAAGAGAAGAGCUCCAACUGUUUGCUCCCAACUGUUUCCCCGACAGACCAACAUGCAUGUUUUGAUGCCAAUCAGCCAUCUGUGGUUCCGACUGACCAAGGUACACGUGCACAUCACUUCAGGCACAGAAAUCACUUUAAUUCCAGCACAGAACAAUGCAUGCUGCUCAGCCAGAGGCUGAGUAUGGAAAAGUCAGGAGUGUGCAGCUUUGUCAGAGAGAUGGGAAUCCCUGGGAAGCAAGUUUGGAGCCAAGUUUACAGCCUAGUAUAGGGACAAACAAAUUGAUCAGCUGAAAUAAGGUCUGGAGGGUUUUUUGUUUUCUCUAAACCUUUUCUAUGCACCUUUAAAUCUUUAUGUUCCUUUAGUGAUAUUUGACCACAUAUACAUACAUUUACAGUUCCAUAGUUAAUGGUAUAUUCAAAGUAAUAAUGAUAAAAAUGAGUUCUACAAGCCUUGCUUAUCGGAGAUUUCUGUCUCAUGCAUCACCUUCAUAAACAGUUGUCUCUUGUCCAGUUCCUGUCCUGGCCAGUGAACCUCUGGUGGCCUGCAGCUGGAGUUCCACAUCUGCACAGCUGGAUGUGGGAGGAGAAGGACUUUGCAGUGGAUUUGUUGUCUCCCAGCUGGCACAUAACACUGUUUGGUUUUGCAGAUCACCUGUGGUUUGAUUCCCAGCAGUAGGAACAUUGCACUUUACCCUUCUCCCCAGCUGCCUGGAUUAAUGUUACCUUUAGCAGACUUGAGUGUUUGCAGGAAGAAGCCGGAUGCUGCCCAAGGACACAUCCCUGUAGCUCCUUGGAAUCCAGCAGAUGUGCAUAUACCCAUCCCUAGCUUCUGAUGCCUCCAGUCAAGUUCCACUGGUUCCAUAUGCUCUGUAAAAUUCAUGAGAAAAAGAAUGUAUUCCAAGUGCACAGAGUACUGAUCAGUUUGUGCUUGCCAGGACAAGAGGAAUGCAGAGCAAUCCCCACAUUCACGCUCUUUCAGAUGUCAUUUUCCCUGGUAAAAAUCAUGGCCUGUCAGUGAACUGGAAAAACAAAUAAAUAAUUAACACAGAAUAUGUGGCAA
Molecule: long non-coding RNA, 1737 nt
Organism: Corvus hawaiiensis (hawaiian crow)
Lineage: Eukaryota; Metazoa; Chordata; Aves; Passeriformes; Corvidae
Exons: 2
Source: RefSeq, a predicted model, not a curated record